This 253-nucleotide ribosomal RNA is filed under the name uncultured bacterium. RNAcentral describes it as "partial 16S ribosomal RNA". It matches the Rfam family "Bacterial small subunit ribosomal RNA", at positions 524 to 776 of the family's 1533-position model. The record is from RNAcentral.
UACGUAGGGUGCUAGCGUUGUCCGGAUUUAUUGGGCGUAAAGAGCUCGUAGGCGGUUUGUCGCGUCUGCUGUGAAAACCCGAGGCUCAACCUCGGGCCUGCAGUGGGUACGGGCAGACUAGAGUGCGGUAGGGGAGAUUGGAAUUCCUGGUGUAGCGGUGGAAUGCGCAGAUAUCAGGAGGAACACCAAUGGCGAAGGCAGAUCUCUGGGCCGUAACUGACGCUGAGGAGCGAAAGCAUGGGGAGCGAACAGG